GACUACCAGACUUUUUUUUUUUUUUUUUAAUACCACGGUGUUCUUUAUUUUCUCAUAUGUGCAUCAUAUAUUGUAAUACGAAAUGGAUAUUGACUGCAGCUGAGGUGGAUAUCCACAUGUAUUGACCUCAGAGCGCUAAGAAUAAUCAAGACGAGACAGCGGUGUUCGCAGUGUGCUGUCCAUUAUCAAGGUCAUGUUUUCAAAACGGCAUCAUCAUCUGCAACAGUGCCAAGCACAAGGACCUGUGGUGUGCUUCUACCCAGUAGAAUACAGCAAAGGUGACUGGAUGCCACUCCUGCGAUUACAUGGUGUUAUGUAAGACUUGCUCUAGAGUCUUGCUGCCCUCUUGGGAAAGCCAAUAUGCUAAGGAACUGCAGAUGGCCUUGAGGAACUGAGGGUAGCCUCUAGGAGAUGAGGGAAGGCCUCCAGCAGAGACCCACCAGGCAGCAAGAAGCCAGGGGCCCGGAGACACACAGCUGAGUGAAAACAAAGUCUGCCAGUCAUCAGACUUGGUGACCUUGGAGGUGUGGAGGUGACUUUGGAAGCUGAUUCUUCCCCAGUGAAGCUCUUCUAUGGGAAAAUGGGCCGGCUGACACCUGACUGCAGCCUUGUGAGACCCUAAGCAGAGAAGCCAGCUAAGUCAGGCCCAGACUUCUAACCCACGGAAACUAUGAGACAACAGGGCACCUCUUCACUUCCGGUUCCCUCUGCCUGAAACACUUUUCCUCUGGCUCUUUACACUGCUGGAUCCUCCUCACCUGUGAAGCCUCGCCUCCAGGGUCACCCGGGCAUUCCUUCUCGAGCCAGCCAGCCUCCGUCCCCGACCUUCCUUCAUCUCCCGCGCACGCCAUGUCUGCUUGCUUCUCUACACGCAUCACCACCAAACUUUUAGAGUUUUAAUCUUGCCAGUAACCAUCCCGUAAGCACGUAAGGAUGGAAAUCAUCUCAUCAUAUUUGAAAUUCAAAGAGGAAGCUCAGAGAACACCACAUGACAAAAGCUGCUCCUGAAAAGGUAUAUUGCAAAAGAGAAGAUAUGACCAACUGAAAAAGCAUACAGCCACGGAGAAGGAGUGGGCCACCUGCAAGUUUCCACGGUCAGCGGGGGGCACCGGACACCCUUUCGGAGAGAUCGCACCGCUCUUGGCUAGCUCUUUCAAGCCUCACAAGACAACUUUCAAACCUGAUUAGUAUGUAUGAUGGGAAAUCAGAUACAUUAUAUUUAGCUUGAAGUGCAGAGCGCCGUGGGUACAAAGAAAGAGAGAUAGGGGGAGGGAUAAAAGGGAGAAAAAAAAGAACAUCUGUAAUCCUUUUCAGAGGACUCCGUGU
Molecule: non-coding RNA, 1326 nt
Organism: Kogia breviceps (pygmy sperm whale)
Lineage: Eukaryota; Metazoa; Chordata; Mammalia; Artiodactyla; Physeteridae
Source: RefSeq, a predicted model, not a curated record